This 557-nucleotide small RNA is filed under the name Pan troglodytes (chimpanzee). RNAcentral's name for it is "retained intron". The record is from RNAcentral. Lineage: Eukaryota; Metazoa; Chordata; Mammalia; Primates; Hominidae.
AUUGUGCUGCGCCUGAACUUCUCUCUGGUGGGAACGCCAUUGUCUGCUUUCGGGAACCUCCGGCCAGUGCUGGCGGAGGAUGCUCAGAGACUCUUCACAGCCUUGUUUCCCUUUGAGAAGAAUUGUGGCAAUGACAACAUCUGCCAGGAUGACCUCAGCAUCACCUUCAGUUUCAUGAGCCUGGACUGCCUCGUGGUGGGUGGGCCCCGGGAGUUCAACGUGACAAUGACUGUGAGAAAUGAUGGUGAGGACUCCUACAGGACACAGGUCACCUUCUUCUUCCCGCUUGGCCUGUCCUACCGGAAGGUGUCCACGCUCCAGAACCAGCGCUCACAGCGAUCCUGGCGUCUGGCCUGUGAGUCUGUCUCUUCCACCGAAGUGUCUGGGGCCUUGAAGAGCACCAGCUGCAGCAUAAACCACCCCAUCUUCCCGGAAAACUCAGAGGUCACCUUUAAUAUCACGUUUGAUGUAGACUCUAAGGCUUCCCUUGGAAACAAACUGCUCCUCAAGGCCAAUGUGACCAGGUGCUCUCUGCUACCAGGCUUCUGCAGGCAGUU